AGGGAGCCAUCACAAUCCAGUAGUUUAGUUUGAGGCUAAUUAGAGGCUGUAUGGUAACUCAAAUUUCACUGUACCUUAAUUGGUGCAUGUGACAAAUAAAUAAUUUGAUUGAUUGAUUUGUAUUGAGUUAUUUGUGACACUGUAU
Long non-coding RNA from Amblyraja radiata (thorny skate), 145 nucleotides. RefSeq lists it as uncharacterized. The record is from RefSeq and is a predicted model, not a curated record. The transcript has 3 exons. Lineage: Eukaryota; Metazoa; Chordata; Chondrichthyes; Rajiformes; Rajidae.